Molecule: ribosomal RNA, 1825 nt
Filed under: Altererythrobacter sp.
Lineage: Bacteria; Pseudomonadati; Pseudomonadota; Alphaproteobacteria; Sphingomonadales; Erythrobacteraceae
Description: partial 23S ribosomal RNA
Rfam family: Bacterial large subunit ribosomal RNA
Source: RNAcentral
GGCAGACAGACGGCGGGUGCUAAGGUCCGUCGUCAAAAGGGAAACAGCCCUGACCUACAGCUAAGGUCCCCAAGUCACGUCUAAGUGGUAAAGCAUGUGGGAAUCCCAAAACAACCAGGAGGUUGGCUUAGAAGCAGCCAUCCUUUAAAGAAAGCGUAACAGCUCACUGGUCUAAAUAAGGGUUCCUGCGGCGAAAAUGUAACGGGGCUCAAGACGUGCACCGAAGCUUAGGGUGUGUAGCAAUACACGCGGUAGCGGAGCGUUCCGUAGGCUGAUGAAGCGAUCUGGCAAUGGGUCGUGGAGGUAUCGGAAGUGCGAAUGCUGACAUGAGUAGCGAUAAAGAGGGUGAGAUGCCCUCUCGCCGAAAUCCCAAGGGUUCCUGCUUAAAGCUAAUCUGAGCAGGGUAAGCCGGCCCCUAAGACGAGCCCGAAGGGGGUAGUCGAUGGGAACCACGUUAAUAUUCGUGGGCCUGGAGGUGUGUGACGGAUCUCGUAAAUUGUCUGACCUUAUUGGAUUGGUCAGGCUUUGAAGAGGUUCCAGGAAAUAGCCCCUCCAUUAUAGACCGUACCCUAAACCGACACAGGUGGGAUGGUAGAGUAUACCAAGGCGCUUGAGAGAAGUCUCCUGAAGGAACUCGGCAAAUUGCCUCCGUACCUUCGGAAGAAGGAGGCCCUCAUUCCGGGCAACCGGUUUGAGGGGGCACAGGCCAGGGGGUAGCGACUGUUUAGCAAAAACACAGGGCUCUGCUAAGUCGGCUUCAAGACGACGUAUAGGGCCUGACGCCUGCCCGGUGCCUGAAGGUUAAGUGGAGUGGUGCAAGCUGCGAAAUGAAGCCCAGGUAAACGGCGGCCGUAACUAUAACGGUCCUAAGGUAGCGAAAUUCCUUGUCGGGUAAGUUCCGACCUGCACGAAUGGCGUAACGACUUCCCCACUGUCUCCAGGAGAUGCUCAGCGAAAUUGAAUUCUCCGUGAAGAUGCGGAGUACCCGCGGUUAGACGGAAAGACCCCGUGCACCUUUACUGCAGCUUCAGAGUGGCAUUAGGAAAGAACUGUGUAGCAUAGGUGGGAGGCUUUGAAGCACUGGCGCCAGCCGGUGUGGAGCCAUAGGUGAAAUACCACCCUGUUGUUUUCUGAUGUCUAACCUCGAUCCAUGAAACUGGAUCAGGGACCCUCUGUGGCGGGUAGUUUGACUGGGGCGGUCGCCUCCUAAAGAGUAACGGAGGCGCGCGAUGGUAGGCUCAGGACGGUUGGAAACCGUCUGUUAGAGUGCAAUGGCAUAAGCCUGCCUGACUGCGAGACUGACGAGUCGAGCAGAGACGAAAGUCGGUCAUAGUGAUCCGGUGGUCCCGAGUGGAAGGGCCAUCGCUCAACGGAUAAAAGGUACGCCGGGGAUAACAGGCUGAUGAUUCCCAAGAGCUCAUAUCGACGGAAUCGUUUGGCACCUCGAUGUCGGCUCAUCACAUCCUGGGGCUGGAGCAGGUCCCAAGGGUUUGGCUGUUCGCCAAUUAAAGUGGUACGUGAGCUGGGUUCAGAACGUCGCGAGACAGUUUGGUCCCUAUCUGCCGUGGGCGUCGAUACUUGAAAGGAGUUGCCCCUAGUACGAGAGGACCGGGGUGAACAUACCUCUGGUGUACCUGUCAUCCUGCCAAGGGUGCCGCAGGGUAGCUAUGUAUGGACGGGAUAACCGCUGAAAGCAUCUAAGCGGGAAGCCUCCCUUAAGAUAAGGUAUCUUCGAACCGUCAUAGACCAUGACGUUGAUAGGCCGGGUGUGGAAGCGCAGUAAUGCGUGGAGCUAACCGGUCCUAAUAGUUCUUUUCGCGCUUGU